GCGCGCCCAAGGAAAGACCUACAGCUAGGCAAAACGCCAGUGCCCAAGGGGCAAUGAAGUUUUGGGCAUUCACCACGGUACCGACAUAGAGCAAGUAAGUUGGGAAGAAGUAACUUUCGCAAGAACUGAGGACACUAUUCGCCGGCACCAUACCGAUCCCUUUCUAAUCACCAUGUAAAUUGACCACUACAUUUGUGGGCAGGUCCUAGUAGAUUCCGGGGCGACGGUAAAUAUCAUAUACAAUGACUGCUACAAAGGACUCGAGCGCAAGAGAAACAAGCUUUACCAAAAUCUCGAGCCGUUGAUCAGCUUCUCAGGGGACAUCACCCAAUCGCUUGGCUCCGACAGGCUCAGAAUCACCCUUGGUGCUAGCCCUACCGUCGCCUCUAUCUCAACACAAUUUACCGUGGUUGACUGCCUCUCUUCUUACAAUGUAAUCCUUGGGAGAGAUGCUAUCUGGGGCUUGCAAUGCUUUGUGGCAAGACAUAUGCUAAUGAUAAAAUUACCUACACCGGGAGGAAUUCUCUGAGUGGAAACCAGGAAGUAGCACGACAAUGUAACUCACUCACGAUAGCAAGAGCAAAGGGCUGCAACGAGAUACUCUCGGUAGGCGACAAACCUUCUGUGGCAGACAAACUUGAUGACCCAAGGGAGGACCCGGAACCAGAGAAACAACUAGAAAAGAGAAAGAAAAAGGCAGCGAAGCCAUCGAGACCCGACUCCGCAGAGAUUCGUCCAUCUCGGACGAGCAGCCCGACAAAUGAGUGCGUAUAGACACCAACUUUUCGGUUAAAGAAAAGAGGUUAGUGUGACUACCCAGCCCGUUCACCGCCUCCAUUCACGUUCGAUUCACUGACCACAAAAGUCAAAAACUGAUGCUGAGAUGAUCACUGCGUAAGACCACCGAGGCACCGAACAUGGAAAGUAUAUCCCCCGCGCCGGCAGAGUC
RNAcentral lists this long non-coding RNA (949 nucleotides) under Rosa chinensis. Its description in RNAcentral is "sRNA RchiOBHm_Chr6g0312451". Lineage: Eukaryota; Viridiplantae; Streptophyta; Magnoliopsida; Rosales; Rosaceae. The record is from RNAcentral.